AAAAAAAAGUAUGGUUUCAGAAUAUUGCAAUAGAAGUAUUAAGCCAUUAGAGUCAUGCAAACUAAAAAUGGCCUUUGUACGACAACAACAUCUUUGAAUGCAAAAGUCUCUACCUACCCUGUGCAAGAUUUAGACUGACCUAGUUGAAUCAUGACAUUUUUAACUACUAAGUAGCUUUAGAGUCUACGUAUAUCAUGUUACUUUACAAACAUACACACAUUCAUGUACU
This 229-nucleotide long non-coding RNA is filed under the name Ictidomys tridecemlineatus (thirteen-lined ground squirrel). RNAcentral describes it as "lncRNA (ENSSTOG00000030150.1)". The record is from RNAcentral. Lineage: Eukaryota; Metazoa; Chordata; Mammalia; Rodentia; Sciuridae.